ACGAACGCUGGCGGCAUGCCUAACACAUGCAAGUCGAACGAGACCUUCGGGUCUAGUGGCGCACGGGUGCGUAACGCGUGGGAAUCUACCCUCAGGUUCGGAAUAACUCAGAGAAAUUUGAGCUAAUACCGGAUGAUGACGUAAGUCCAAAGAUUUAUCGCCUGAGGAUGAGCCCGCGUAGGAUUAGGUAGUUGGUGAGGUAAAGGCUCACCAAGCCGACGAUCCUUAGCUGGUCUGAGAGGAUGAUCAGCCACACUGGGACUGAGACACGGCCCAGACUCCUACGGGAGGCAGCAGUGGGGAAUAUUGGACAAUGGGCGAAAGCCUGAUCCAGCAAUGCCGCGUGAGUGAUGAAGGCCUUAGGGUUGUAAAGCUCUUUUACCCGGGAUGAUAAUGACAGUACCGGGAGAAUAAGCGCCGGCUAACUCCGUG
Molecule: ribosomal RNA, 432 nt
Filed under: uncultured bacterium
Lineage: Bacteria
Description: partial 16S ribosomal RNA
Rfam family: Bacterial small subunit ribosomal RNA
Source: RNAcentral